Molecule: ribosomal RNA, 447 nt
Filed under: uncultured bacterium
Lineage: Bacteria
Description: bacterial SSU rRNA
Rfam family: Bacterial small subunit ribosomal RNA
Source: RNAcentral
UCCAGACUCCUACGGGAGGCAGCAGUGGGGGAUAUUGCACAAUGGGGGGAACCCUGAUGCAGCGACGCCGCGUGGGUGAAGGAGCGUUUCGGCGCGUAAAGCCCUAUCGGCAGGGAAGAAGGAGGACGGUACCUGACUAAGAAGCCCCGGCUAACUACGUGCCAGCAGCCGCGGUAAUACGUAGGGGGCAAGCGUUAUCCGGAUUUACUGGGUGUAAAGGGGGCGCAGACGGCAGCGCAAGCCAGGAGUGAAAGCCCGGGGCCCAACCCCGGGACUGCUCUUGGAACUGCGCGGCUGGAGUGCAGGAGGGGCAGGCGGAAUUCCUGGUGGAGCGGUGAAAUGCGUAGAUAUCAGGAGGAACACCGGUGGCGAAGGCGGCCUGCUGGACUGCGACUGACGUUGAGGCCCGAAAGCGUGGGGAGCAAACAGGAUUAGAUACCCGCGUAC